CGAGUGAUUGUAGAGGAUGUUCGGUACGCCUGGUCUAAUUCUUGGAACAGAAUGCAGAGAGGGUGAGAUCCCGUCUGGACCGGCGGUAGGGCCAUGUGAAACUCCUUCGACGAGUCGAGUUGUUUGGGAAUGCAGCUCAAAAUGGGUGGUAUAUUUCAUCUAAAGCUAAAUAUUGGCCAGAGACCGAUAGCGCACAAGUAGAGUGAUCGAAAGAUGAAAAGAACUUUGAAAAGAGAGUUAAACAGUAUGUGAAAUUGUUGAAAGGGAAGCGCUUGCAACCAGACUUGAGCGCGGCGGUUCCCCCUUCCUUUUGGUUGGGUUACUCCGUCGUGUCCAGGCCAACAUCGGUUCUGGGGGUCGGAUAAAGGCUUGGGGAAUGUACCUACGUCUUCGGGCGUAGACUUAUAGCCCCGAGUGUCAUGCGACCUCCCGGGACCGAGGAACGCGCUUCGGCUCGGAU
RNAcentral lists this ribosomal RNA (460 nucleotides) under Exophiala capensis. Its description in RNAcentral is "eukaryotic LSU rRNA". It matches the Rfam family "Eukaryotic large subunit ribosomal RNA", at positions 143 to 624 of the family's 3401-position model. Lineage: Eukaryota; Fungi; Ascomycota; Eurotiomycetes; Chaetothyriales; Herpotrichiellaceae. The record is from RNAcentral.